AUUGGGACUUCAUGGCGCUUACACCAAGCAACUGAGAUUCUAGGAUCAAGAUAAUUAGUCUUAGAUGUGCCUAACGCAGUGGUUUUUAGUUCCUUCUUCAAAUCCAUAUCUCGUUGGGUCUUCUCAAUCUUGUCAAGUGUCAGAUUGAUCUUCUUCUGCAAUCUGAAAUUCAAUAGCAAAAUACAUGAGACAACAACAUCAUUGUGCAUUCAGCUCAAAAUAGUAGUAAGUUAAGAUAAGAGAAAACCUGUCAUACAUUUCGGGGGUAAAUUUCUUCUUUGGUUUCCCAUCAUCAGCAUCCAGCUGCAGUGGAGCUUUCCCUUUUCUCACCCCGUGCAAAUUGGUUUCCAGCCCUGGUGGUUCGACUCUAAAAUUUCCAACCUGUGAAUUAUAUUUUGUCAAAUAAAACCCACAAACAAUAAUGACAUGAAAAACAAAGAAUUGAGAAACUAUUAGUUGUGAAAGGUAGACAGACCUCUCCUCCUGCUUCAGUUUUUCUUCUUUCAGGGCUUUUCUCUCCUGCAGGAAUCAACAAUUAGAUGCAUGCCGGAAAUAUACUGCAAUUCAACUGUUUCAUGUAAUCUACAAACUUACUUGUGCGCUCAACUGUUUUUUCUUGUCUUUCUCAUUCUGAUGCCAAUCGUAGAUUGGAGUGAAAUCACACGGAUGGAAUUUUUUGAUAAGGUGUUCUUUCCCAAGUAUGACUCUCCAAUCCUUCAUGAAGUUUUCUAUAAACUUUGGUUUCGCAGCAAACUCCGUGUCUUUCAUGACUGCAAACAUGGUCGCAACCUCCUCCUGUUCGGGAGUCAAUUCAACCUGUUUUCCAUUGUAGAGCAUCCUCACUCCGUGCGGCUUGUAUGGAGGUGCUAAUACAAUACCGUUGUGUGCAAAAGUAGUCCAUUUCUUUCCAGCACCGGAAUUGAGGUGUAAACCCGUCGACUUAGACCUCGUCUUUGUUAUUUUCUUUGAGUGAAGAAGAAGCCACCUUUUUAGCCAAUGCAGAAGCAGCUUCAAAUUUUUUCUUUCUCUCGGAAUCUUCUCCAAGCUGCGAUUGCUUUGAUUUAUUAGACCCCGAUGGCAGUACAGACGGGGACACCACCAUGCCGCUGUCAGAUGUUGUUGUUGUCAUCAUCUUUGAAUCAUAUUCAUGCUUGCUGUCGACAUUAGAUGAUGUUGUUGUUUUCCUUCUCUUGAAGAUUAUAGGUCCAUCAUAAUCGUGCAUGGCUUUAAAUAAAGGGAGAGAUGUUUAUGCAGAGAGAACUAUAGCUAGUAUAUCCCCUAUUUAUAUAGACACGGACUUUCCUUUUUCUUUUCACUUGUGUUUGCUUGUAUAGAAUUCGAACACUUUCCUUAUUAAGAGCCCCAGUUUUGUUUUCUCAUUAAGCCUGAAACCAGCCACCCAAUCUGAAACAGGUGCGGGAGUGGGUACCGGUGGUGGUGGUGCCGGCAACUAAAAUCUGGUACUAGUUGGUUUGAUACUUGUUGGGGACGUACACGGUUGUACGCCGCAUGAGCAACUACUGAAGAACAGCAUAAGAACUUGGAUAAAAGGGGGCCGGUUAUUGAAAGUAUUGUUGCAAGAACAGUUAGACUAGUUUAGAUCACGGAGGAGCACAUCUGUUUGGUUGGUUUGUCAGCUACAGUCCCCAAUUACAAAGGUGUGGCCUUAACUUUACGAGUUGAUCUGAAAAAAGGAAUUCCAUUUUGGCAACAGUUACAGAACAUGUCCGCUUGCUUGGAAUCACUGUGAAGAAGCCUUGACAGAGCAAUACUAGAUUCAAGAUACUGCUCUUGCUAAUGACACCCCAAGUCGUUUUCUACAAGAGGUUAGCGUAAGCAGUGAGAUUUUACAGACUGAAAUGAAUCAUGUUAGGUGCAAUGAUUCCCAGGACUUGUUGCGUAUGUGUUUGCAAUCAAUCGUGCCAGUAUGGCGGAACUAACCGUUAUCUUGACGAGGAACUUUUUGGUGAAGGUGUUGGUUUCCACUUCAAUUAUUGUGAAUGGUCCAAACUUGCGCAGAAUGGUUUGGGGUUUACGCACCUUGUGGUAUGGCCACUUCAUCUUGUUCUUCUCAGUCUUUGCAUACCGGAUUUGGAAAACUAUCAAGGAUUUUACGGUUCGGAAUUUCGUUUGAGGUCAAAUUACUCCAGUUACUUUUUGGGUUUGUUAGCUGCAUAUUGUACUGAGGAUCCAGUAGUUAGGUGACCAUGGGCAUCUCAAUUUUGAAUCUGGAUGGACAGACUGCGCUCGCUCCUUAUCGAGAUGCUUGAAAGUCAGUUUGUGUCGCCCAGGAAGGAGUAUAACACCUCCGGAGAACAAGGUAGCUAAUCAAGCACAGCUCAAAAGAGAACCGUCGAAAAAGAAACACUAAGCUCAACAAUGCUAAGCUCCCAUUAACUGAAGUUAACAAAGAGGCUUGACAACUGAAACAAAACCAAGGAACUCCUAUAACUCCCAAGUGUAAGGACAGUGUAAAAAUAAAUACUACUCUUCUGUCUCUCCCAGAACUUACAGUUUGCACCCACAAAAGUUUGCAGAGAACGGUGUUUCUGUAAUAUACAAACCAAAUUAUGCAGCGA
Long non-coding RNA from Papaver somniferum (opium poppy), 2579 nucleotides. RefSeq lists it as uncharacterized. The transcript has 2 exons. The record is from RefSeq and is a predicted model, not a curated record. Lineage: Eukaryota; Viridiplantae; Streptophyta; Magnoliopsida; Ranunculales; Papaveraceae.